UUUAUUUUUUCUCUCGCCAAAAAAAAAACACCCUGACUCUCUCUCUCUCGCAAGUCGCAAAGGCGAUUAAACGGUGUGAUGAGUCGGCGAAUUCCGACGAAUCUUUCAAUUCUCUCUGUUCGCUAUCAGCCACCGUAGCACCACCACCACCACCAGUUCCACAAUACAUCUCAAGCGACUCUCCAAAGAUCAGAAACUUCUGGUUUCCAUCGACUAUCAUCAUGACUUUUGCCACUUCUAUUCUCACUCGUAUCUGAAUGGUAUUAAGCUCUCUGUGCUUAUUACUGCUUAUGUUUUCCUUCAUUGAUGAUACGAUACUUAGAUUUUACCAUUGGGCUUGUGUCAAAGUCUUCCCUAUGUAGAAACACAGAGAACAAAGCUACUAUUAGUCUAUUAGUGAGAUUGUUUCAGCUGUGAAUGGUGUCUCCGUUGGAUCUUGUGUGAUCUUGUGUUUGAGUGUAGCGUUUUCAUCAUUCUACAAGGAGGUGGUAGAGAUCCUUUUCGGUGGUGGCAUGUUUCAGUCCAACUUCUUUGGUCCUAGCAUGAAUCUUUUUGUAAAUCUACUUGAUCGUAGAACAGUCGAUGGUUGUGUAUCCUAACAAAGAAGAAGCUUUGAUUUUCUUUUGAUUUUGCUCUGUUUCCGAUUUUAUAUUCAUGUCUCUGAAUCUGUAUGUGGUACUGAAACUGAAUUGCUCAUGUGAUGGUUGCAUCAAGAGGAUUUACAAGACUAUCUCUAAGACUAAAGAUUUGAUAAAGGCAGUCCAUGAAGAAGUAAAGCUUUUUCUCCUACCAUUACUUCAUGUGACGUUUUUUAGGAACAGAAGUUGAGUGGUUAUAAAACUAAGGUUUUUUGUCUUAAUUCGUAGGAAUAUUUAUUGUAAUAGUUAUCAUAUUGUUGAUACAAUUGCAGGACGAGGUUUGUAUAGAAACAGAGGAAUGGAUUAAGCA
This is a long non-coding RNA of Arabidopsis lyrata subsp. lyrata, 948 nucleotides long. RefSeq lists it as uncharacterized. The transcript has 3 exons. The record is from RefSeq and is a predicted model, not a curated record. NCBI's taxonomy places the organism in Eukaryota, Viridiplantae, Streptophyta, Magnoliopsida, Brassicales, Brassicaceae.